This 275-nucleotide long non-coding RNA is filed under the name Mytilus galloprovincialis (Mediterranean mussel). The record is from RNAcentral. Lineage: Eukaryota; Metazoa; Mollusca; Bivalvia; Mytilida; Mytilidae.
CUAAAGGCUCCACAAAAUAAUAUCUUGCAUGGAUGUAAGUCACAUUGAAAUGUAUUUGCAGCAACAGUAGCAGCUGUGUAUGAAUCAAUCAUUAGUUGCAUAGACAUGGGCGGUCUACUAGCAACCAUAGGAGUAUCUAUAUUGACAGUAAUAUUGUUGACAUUAUACGUAAUCGUUUCAUUUAGCAGUAAUGAAUUUGUGUUGUUAUCUGGCUAGGGUUCCCUUCCGUUACUAUGGAACAGCAUAAUUUGUUAUACCUAAGUAAUCAACCGUUU